GCCAAACUCCCGAAUACCAGUGAGUACUAUCCGGGAGGCACACGGCGGGGUGCUAACGUCCGUCGUGAAAAGGGAAACAACCCAGACCGCCAGCUAAGGUCCCCAAUCAUGGCUAAGUGGGGAAACGAUGUGGGAAGGCAUAGACAGCUAGGAGGUUGGCUUAGAAGCAGCCAUCCUUUAAAGAAAGCGUAAUAGCUCACUAGUCGAGUCGGCCUGCGCGGAAGAUCCAACGGGGCUCAAGCCAUGAACCGAAGCUGCGGAUGCAUCUUAUGAUGCGUGGUAGAGGAGCGUUCUGUACGCCUGUGAAGCUCGAUUGAGGAAGUCGGGUGGAGGUAUCAGAAGUGCGAAUGCUGACAUAAGUAACGACAAGGGGAGUGAAAAACUCCCCCCGCCGGAAGACCAAGGG
RNAcentral lists this ribosomal RNA (406 nucleotides) under uncultured bacterium. Its description in RNAcentral is "bacterial LSU rRNA". It matches the Rfam family "Bacterial large subunit ribosomal RNA", at positions 948 to 1351 of the family's 2925-position model. The record is from RNAcentral.